Carya illinoinensis is the source of this 992-nucleotide long non-coding RNA. RefSeq lists it as uncharacterized. The record is from RefSeq and is a predicted model, not a curated record. The transcript is spliced from 2 exons. Lineage: Eukaryota; Viridiplantae; Streptophyta; Magnoliopsida; Fagales; Juglandaceae.
UUCUUCUCCCUUGCGCCGAGCAGCUCAUCCCUCAUCUGCAUUUCAGUUUUCAUCUCCUUCUACAAUCUGUGUCCUAAUGCUGCUUCUCCUCUUAUCCUCCUUCAUUUUAUUUCUUUUCUUUCCUCUAUUUUUCUGUGGGUUGCCACCUGCUGUAUUUCUUCUUCUUCUUCUUCUUCAUUUUCGGUCUCAUCUUUCAUCUGCAAAUCUGGGUUGUGCCGCAGCACCUGGGGUCCUUUUCUAUCCGAUCUAUCCGUGCACUUCCAUGCUCAUCAAUCUCUCUAUCUUUCCUUGGUAUUUUCGUGUGCUAUGCUUGUGAAAAAUCCCCUUGCAUUUUCGGUUGUUCUUUGCUCCAUUUUAGUGCCUCAUUUUCCUACCCGUCCCAUUUUUUUUCGCUUCUUUCCUUGCUCUGUUUUCUUGGCCAUUUUUGUGCUCGGUUUUCUUUGUUUUCCUCUAGUAAUUUCGUGGGUUCAUGCUUGUGUUUUAUUCCCAUCUCAUUCUCGUUAGUUUGGUCUUCCAUUUCUCUGUCUUUGUUCAUGCCAUGCCCCUGUAUUUUGUCCAAAUCCGUGAGCCUCAUUUUCUGUUUUGGUGACUUGUGUUCCAGCCGUGGCAUCAUAUUCAUGCAUUUUGUUAUUGCAUGAAUAUAUUUUUAUCCCGCAUUUUGUUUGAAUUAUUACUUACAUGUGAUACAGUUUCUUGAUAAUGUAGAUUUUUGUACAGAUGACGAAGAGGCUGAGCCCGAGGAGACGGCUCUGCCGCAGGAGUAGAUUGGCGUCUCUACUUAUAAUUGUUGGAAGUUAUCUUCCAUUUUCAAAUUAUGUAUUUUGGUUUAUGACUUUUUUACUAAAAUUUAUAAUAUUUUUAAUACACUUAUGUUUAAGUGAACUUGUAUUUAAACAAAUUCUGGUAUUUAGUUGACUGACUUUAGAUAUCCACUGCGUUGAUUUUGUUGUACACAUUUUGCUUAUACAUAUACUUGACACUUGGCAAUGGAA